This 253-nucleotide ribosomal RNA is filed under the name uncultured bacterium. RNAcentral's name for it is "partial 16S ribosomal RNA". It matches the Rfam family "Bacterial small subunit ribosomal RNA", at positions 524 to 776 of the family's 1533-position model. The record is from RNAcentral.
UACAGAGGUGGCAAGCGUUGUUCGGAAUUACUGGGCGUAAAGGGCGCGUAGGCGGCCUACUAAGUCAGACGUGAAAUCCCCCGGCUUAACCUGGGAACUGCGUCUGAUACUGGAAGGCUUGAGGAUGGGAGAGGGAUGUAGAAUUCCAGGUGUAGCGGUGAAAUGCGUAGAUACCUGGAGGAAUACCGGUGGCGAAGGCGGCAUCCUGGACCAUUACUGACGCUGAGGCGCGAAAGCUAGGGGAGCAAACGGG